Molecule: RNA transcript, 1042 nt
Organism: Styela clava
Lineage: Eukaryota; Metazoa; Chordata; Ascidiacea; Stolidobranchia; Styelidae
Source: RefSeq, a predicted model, not a curated record
GUUUCGUAGGACUUUGGGCUAUUCAACGUAGUCGUUGAUUCUUUCGACGCAACAUUGGGGUAUGCAUACAAAGUUGAACGAACAAAUCGAGCGAGUCUUGGUUACCGGAAUAAAUUCACUACAUGGUUUGACAACUGUGUGGAUCAAUGCUGCACAAAGAAAUAUCGAUGAUAGACUGGAGAAAAUACAUUUGCAAACAUUCGAAGAUAGUCCCACACAGGGGUAGGGUCGACUAAUGACUUCACUGCAUGUAAUGGAUGGAUGACGAGCCUGCGACAAUGUCAGUGCAGAGAAAGACGUUGUGGGAGCAGUUCUGGUACCUUUGAAAUAUUUGAUGAUUCAAUUAUUCCCUUUUCAGCAACAUGUUGUUUAGCGUAAUGUUUUUCAAAUUGAUGCAUCAUACAAAUUCUGAUUUUGACAACCGGUGUUGCAAAGUCAACACAUAAUCGAUCUGUGCUAAGUUCAAUUAGCUAUUUAUCCAAGUUAAUUGUAUAUGAUAAAAUGGGUAAUAUUAAUAUUAUCUAUUUUACUGAUUCAUGCUUAACAUAACUGAGCCUAUCGGCAAAUUCAUUUGGAGUUUAUGUGUGUUUCAAAUCAUGUGUCGGACGUGCAUUUACCAUGUGAAUCCAUGCGCUGCUUUUUUGGUAUUUUUUAUUCAUUUUAGCUGUGUUGUUUUAUUCGUUUAUUUUGUUUUUUCUGUGCCUUGUGCCUUUUUUCUGGUGUCAAGUGUUGGUAGUCGGCCAGAGCGGGAAAAGUCGGUAAGAAAAGAAGGAAAGACGAAGACCUAUGUAUUGUACAGUAACAUCGUAACAGACUGAGGGCAAAGCGCCAGUAUUCUUGAGACGACUCCUAUUAUGGCAAUUAUUAAAAUACCCGUUUAAUGUGAAGAAGUAACCCGAAACUUUAACCUGCGCUUUAUCUGAUUAUUUAGAGAAAUCCAAUUAAAAUGUAUUUGCGUAUGUUAUGCAUACUUGAAAUUGAGUGGGGAAUUUAAUUUUCAAUUAACUACAAAUUCCUUUGGUGCUCCACGAUAUGCGAAACA